AGUGAACGCUGGCGGUAGGCCUAACACAUGCAAGUCGAACGGCAGCACAGUAAGAGCUUGCUCUUACGGGUGGCGAGUGGCGGACGGGUGAGGAAUACAUCGGAAUCUACUUUUUCGUGGGGGAUAACGUAGGGAAACUUACGCUAAUACCGCAUACGACCUACGGGUGAAAGCAGGGGAUCUUCGGACCUUGCGCGAUUGAAUGAGCCGAUGUCGGAUUAGCUAGUUGGCGGGGUAAAGGCCCACCAAGGCGACGAUCCGUAGCUGGUCUGAGAGAAUGAUAAGCCACACUGGAACUGAGACACGGUCCAGACUCCUACGGGAGGCAGCAGUGGGGAAUAUUGGACAAUGGGCGCAAGCCUGAUCCAGCCAUACCGCGUGGGUGAAGAAGGCCUUCGGGUUGUAAAGCCCUUUUGUUGGGAAAGAAAAGCAGCAGGUUAAUACCCCGCUGUUCUGACGGUACCCAAAGAAUAAGCACCGGCUAACUUCGUG
RNAcentral lists this ribosomal RNA (492 nucleotides) under uncultured bacterium. Its description in RNAcentral is "partial 16S ribosomal RNA". It matches the Rfam family "Bacterial small subunit ribosomal RNA", at positions 29 to 507 of the family's 1533-position model. The record is from RNAcentral.